This 93-nucleotide microRNA precursor is filed under the name Nomascus leucogenys (northern white-cheeked gibbon). RNAcentral describes it as "miRNA (ENSNLEG00000034719.1)". Lineage: Eukaryota; Metazoa; Chordata; Mammalia; Primates; Hylobatidae. The record is from RNAcentral.
UGAGGCAGGAGAAUUGCUUGAACCCAGGAGGUGGAGGUUGCAGUGAGCCGAGAUCGUGCCACUGUACUCCAGCCUGGGUGACAGAGAGAGACU